CUCCUUUCUUUUUUCUUUCCUCUUUUCUCUUAUCCUAAAUCUACAACCAUCGUUGUCACAUCUUUGUACCAGCGAGACCCUCCUUUCUCUUCUCGUCCUUCUUUCGCCCGUGGUUCUAUGGUGGCAGAGGAACUAGACCCCUAUUGGUGCAAACCUCGAACACAUCCGCAAGCAAACAAUCCUAUUCGCCAAGAAACUAAGAAAGGAGUUCGAAUCCGUAAUUUGGAGUCUGACAACGUUCAAGAACUCUAAAAAAGCAUGACAUUGAAGUAUUCUUUCAAAAUCUAUGGAAGGUUCAUUUGAAUUUAUAGCUAUCUGGGUAAGAUUGUGGUUGAGCUAGCCGAUUUUUAUUUUGUUUUCUCUUGUCCCGGGAAUGAAUCUUUAGGAAUCUUCCAAUUAAAAUACUAAGUUUUGUCGCUUGCAUCUUUUCAAGUGUUUGCUUGCUUAUGUUAUUAAGAUGUCAUACAUCUCUUUAUCAUCCAUGAAUGUGUCGUUUGAAAAUUGAAAUGAGCUCUCAUGUUUCCGCCGGGUGUUCAAUUAUAGGUUGUAGAGCUCUUUGCUUUUUUCAUUUUUUCAAACAUGAAUAGUCUAAUCAAGUAUUCUCGUCACCUAUUCUACCCCCUUCACCAUGUUAAAUGUGUUGAAACUAAUCAACAUGAAGUUCCAUUAAGGAAGAGACUUGACGAGUUAUUUUCUUUUAUUUUGGUAAAGAUGUGUCAUUUGCAGGUGCAUGUUUGUGGUAGUUAGGCUGUACUCUUCUCAUUUUUUUAACCUGAAAUUUGAUUCAUUAGUUCUGCACGUUUUUUCUUGUUUGCCACAUUUGCAGUAGGUCAUCUAACUUGCUAAGUUCCGAGUUUGAAUUUAUUUCUUGUGUCUACUCUUCAAACUGGAAACUUUAAAUUAUUUUAUGGUCUCAGAUUAUGUAUCAUCUUAAGACGUUACUUAUUUACAUUAUUUAAGCCCAAGUCUCUAAUCUUUAUUUCUUUCAUUUUACAUGUACACCCGGGAGCGCAUUUGGAGCCAUGGUUCGACUCCAUCUCUGUCUAAUUCAGAGGAGCAACUAAUAGCUAUUUGUAUGUGUUCAUGUCCAGCCCAGCCUGUUCACGUCAAAAGGGUCCAACGUUCCUCUUUCUUCUCUUGGAAUCUACUACUCCUAUUAGUAUUGCUUCGACCAAUAUUAUAUCAAUCAAAACAAAUGUUCUCUCAUAUUUUGUUGCUUAUGUGUUAUUUAUAUUUUGUAUAUGUCACUUCGGCACAGGUGAUGGUAAAACAGAUAUUCACUUCUCUC
Long non-coding RNA from Capsicum annuum, 1288 nucleotides. RefSeq lists it as uncharacterized. NCBI's taxonomy places the organism in Eukaryota, Viridiplantae, Streptophyta, Magnoliopsida, Solanales, Solanaceae. The transcript has 2 exons. The record is from RefSeq and is a predicted model, not a curated record.